CGUAUCAGUUAGUGUAGUACGUCGAUAAGUUACUGGUGAGUUUAAUAUUUUUUUCCAGAUUUUGUAUUUAAUAUUAAUUAAUGCUAUAAUUAUUAAUUAAUAAUGGUGUACACAUUUGUUGAAUACUCUGAUAUGGUUUUUAUUUUAGGUAAGGUUUUUCUUGUAAUAAAAAAUGUUAUGUUAUUCUGAAUACGUACAUCUAAUUAUGAGGUGCUGCUAAUGGUAUUGGUGCUCAGGCAGUUCGAUUAUGGGCUAUUUCCAAACCGUCAGCAACUUAAUCGAAAAAUCUUCACCGAUGUUUUUCGUAGAUUAAGAGAAACGGGUAUGUUUUUUUUUAAUUAUCCAAAUAAUAAUAAAGUUUUAAUAUUUAAUUUACAGUCAAAUGAGUCGUAUAUAAGCGGAUAGGAUCGUUAAAUUGACGCUUAAAUAAAAAAUAAUUUAUUCCAUUGANCGGUGAUAAUGAUUAUUUUUGGAAAAAAUCGAAUGACCCCUUAUUUCGUAAGAGAAUUUUGCGAUAAAUUCUCUGGAAUGGUUUAUUUUUAUUUUGUAUGGGUAUUUUACAAAUAAAACGGGUAAAACCAAAGUUUUGAUAAGAAAACAAAAAUUCCAAAAAACCAAUUCUUAUAGCCACAUAUAGUCAAAAUCCGUAGGGUUGGUCAGUCUUUUCUGAUACACUCUGUAUAUUUUGUUAAAUAACUAAAUAUUGUCUUUAUAAUUUUAUUAGUCGUAGACGAAUGGUACAUGCCUAGUUCCAUUCUAGGGUUUAGAGUUCAUACCCGUGUUUCGAAAAAAAAAUGUUGCACUUAUUUUUUCCCUUUUACUUUAACAAGGAAAAUCUAAUGUAUUUUAGGAGUACCUUGAGACCGCUGCUAUCGGUCGCUCGGACUAUUUUAAUUGACAAAUAUCCUUUGAUUUAUUGUCUAAGCUUUUCUAUCAAAAAUCUUGCUCAGAUGUAUCAAGUGUAGCUUAUUUUCUGAAAGGAAAUUUGAUCUCCAUGGUACUUUAGUGUAUCUUACCAGCGAAAACAUCAAAUUUAUGGGUCAUCUGCUAUAUAGCCCGAAUUUGGCACCCAAUGACUUCUUUAUAUUAUCACACAUACAAAUUGCGUGGUCAACGUUUUCCGACGCCUGAAGAAGC
Cinara cedri is the source of this 1137-nucleotide non-coding RNA. Lineage: Eukaryota; Metazoa; Arthropoda; Insecta; Hemiptera; Aphididae. The record is from the annotation of a GenBank genome assembly.